This 219-nucleotide unclassified non-coding RNA is filed under the name Hevea brasiliensis (rubber tree). The record is from RNAcentral. Lineage: Eukaryota; Viridiplantae; Streptophyta; Magnoliopsida; Malpighiales; Euphorbiaceae.
GUUGACUAUAAUUUUUUUUUUAAUUACUGGGUUGAUCACUUCAUCCCAUCAUCUGCCAAGGUUAGAUGGUCCAUGCAGUAGUGGUUGUUCCCCAGUGGCGGUUUUUGAUUUCAAAUUAGGAGUUUUCCUACAUAUCAGAGUUAAUGAUAUAAAAUCUGUUUGUAGCUGGAAAAUAGCGUGAUUCUUAAAAAGAGUCUAUAGAUUUAAGCAGUAAUUAUA